This 253-nucleotide ribosomal RNA is filed under the name uncultured bacterium. RNAcentral describes it as "partial 16S ribosomal RNA". It matches the Rfam family "Bacterial small subunit ribosomal RNA", at positions 524 to 776 of the family's 1533-position model. The record is from RNAcentral.
UAUGUAGGGUGCUAGCGUUAUCCGGAUUUACUGGGCGUAAAGGGUGCGUAGGCGGGCUGGUAAGUCAGCUGUGAAAGUUUACGGCUCAACCGUGAAAUUGCAGUUGAUACUGUUGGUCUUGAGUAUACAUGAGGUGGGCGGAAUUUGUGGUGUAGCGGUGAAAUGCUUAGAUAUCACAAAGAACUCCAAUUGCGAAGGCAGCUCACUGGGGUAUAACUGACGCUGAUGCACGAAGGUGUGGGUAUCAAACAGG